Molecule: ribosomal RNA, 484 nt
Filed under: uncultured bacterium
Lineage: Bacteria
Description: partial 16S ribosomal RNA
Rfam family: Bacterial small subunit ribosomal RNA
Source: RNAcentral
AUUGAACGCUGGCGGCAGGCCUAACACAUGCAAGUCGAGCGGAUGAAGGGAGCUUGCUCCUGGAUUCAGCGGCGGACGGGUGUGUAAUGCAUAGGAAUCUGCCUGGUAUUGGGGGAUAACGUCCGGACGCGGGCGCUAAUACCGCAUACGUCCUGAUGGAGAAAGUGGGGGGUCUUCGGACCUCACGCUAUCAGAUGAGCCUAGGUCGGAUUAGCUAGUUGGUGGGGUAAAGGCCUACCAAGGCGACGAUCCGUAACUGGUCUGAGAGGAUGAUCAGUCACACUGGAACUGAGACACGGUCCAGACGCCUAAGGGAGGGAGCAGUGGGGAAUGUUGGACAAUGGGCGAAAGCCUGAUCCAGCCAUGCCGCGUGUGUGAAGAAGGUCUUCGGAUUGUAAAGCACUUUAAGUUGGGAGGAAGGGCAGUAAGUUAAUACCUUGCUGGUUUGACGGUACCAACAGAAUAAGCACCGGCUAACUACGUG